Molecule: long non-coding RNA, 1104 nt
Filed under: Piliocolobus tephrosceles (Ugandan red Colobus)
Lineage: Eukaryota; Metazoa; Chordata; Mammalia; Primates; Cercopithecidae
Description: lncRNA (ENSPTEG00000001977.1)
Source: RNAcentral
ACAAAAAAGGGAGUGGAAAGUAAAAACUUGGUAUACAACGAUUUAAUAAGAGGUGCUGUACUGCACAGCUUAGAAACGGCUACAUUAGGUUUACCAUUUGAAGUAUGGAAGACAAGGAUGUGUAUUCAUAGAAAUGAAAAUACAAUUAGAUCUCUUAUAAAUAUUUGUAAUAAAGGUGUAAGUAAUUUUUAUGGUGGUUUUUUUGCAAAGUUAAUUGAAAGUAGCAGUAAAGGUGCUGUUCUAUUACUAUCAAAAGAACAGGUAAUAAAAGCAUGUAAUAGUUUAAAUAUAAAUAAUACUACUAGUGGUUUUAUUGGUGGUGCUUGUGGAGGCAUUUGUCAGUCAUUAGUUAUGACUCCUUGUACUUUUUUUAUUACAAGUAGUAUUGAUAGUAAAGUUAAUUAUAAAGAAAAACUUGUACACAUAAUUAAAACGAGUGGUAUAACAACAUUAUAUAAAGGAAACAUUGCUAUGUGUUUGAGGCAGGGUACGAAUUGGGCUAGUCGACAGGGCAUAACUGAAUGGGUGCGAAAUAAGUAUAUCCAAAGAAAAACAAAAAUGGAAGCAGAAAAAAUACAUUCUAAAAAUAGGGAUAUACAAACAAACGAACGCACACACCUACUUGGACUAACACAUUCACAAACUUCGGAAACACCCAAUGACAACCAUUUAAACAAAUUAAAUCUAAUAAAUGAUAAAAAAAAUAAUAAUACAAACUGCCAAUUAAGUAUAUCAGAAGAAAUUAUUUGUGGUAUUAUUGGUGGUACUCUUUCUGUAUGGAAUAAUCCAUUUGACGUUGUUAGAGUAUAUAUGCAAAACAAUGCUAAUAAAAAUAUAAAGUCAACAUUUUUUCAGUCCAUACAUAAUUUAUAUAAUGAAGGUGGUAUUCUUUAUUUAUAUAAAGGUGUCAUACCGCGUUGUUUUUUAUGUAUAUGGCAAACGCUUUUUAUGGUAUCUGGCAUUAAAAUUUUGGAAAAUUAUGUAUGACAAUGUCUUGAUUGUAACUGGUUCAAAAAAAAAAAAAAAAAAAAAAAAAAGCGAGCGAGCGAACGAACGAACGAACGAAUAUGAGUACUAAUAAAAAGGUUGAACAUUUAACUUACA